UACAGAGGGUGCGAGCGUUUAUCGGAAUUACUGGGCGUAAAGGGUGCGUAGGUGGUUUGAUAAGUCAGGUGUGAAAUCCCCGGGCUUAACCUGGGAAUUGCAUUUGAUACUGUCAAACUAGAGUGUGAUAGAGGUAAGCGGAAUUCCCGGUGUAGCGGUGAAAUGCGUAGAUAUCGGGAGGAACAUCAGUGGCGAAGGCGGCUUACUGGAUUAACACUGACACUGAGGCACGAAAGCGUGGGUAGCAAACAGG
Molecule: ribosomal RNA, 253 nt
Filed under: uncultured bacterium
Lineage: Bacteria
Description: partial 16S ribosomal RNA
Rfam family: Bacterial small subunit ribosomal RNA
Source: RNAcentral